This 256-nucleotide ribosomal RNA is filed under the name uncultured bacterium. Its description in RNAcentral is "partial 16S ribosomal RNA". It matches the Rfam family "Bacterial small subunit ribosomal RNA", at positions 793 to 1055 of the family's 1533-position model. The record is from RNAcentral.
GUCCACGCCGUAACGAUGAAUACUAGGUGUCGGAAGCAUAGCUUUCGGUGCCGCCGCAACGCAUUAAGUAUUCCACCUGGGAGUACGUUCGCAAGAAUGAACUCAAGGAAUUGACGGGACCCGCACAAGCGGUGGAGCAUGUGGUUUAAUUCGAUGCAACGCGAAACCUUACCCACCUUUGACAUGUAUGGAAUCCUUUUAGAGAUAGAGGAGUGCUCGAAAGAGAGCCAUAACACAGGUGCUGCAUGGCUGUCGU